UUGCCCUAGUAACGGCGAGUGAAGCGGCAACAGCUCAAAUUUGAAAUCUGGCUUCGGCCCGAGUUGUAAUUUGCAGAGGAUGUUUCUGGCGCGGUGCCUUCCGAGUUCCCUGGAACGGGACGCCACAGAGGGUGAGAGCCCCGUAUGGUUGGACACCAAGCCUGUGUGAAACUCCUUCGACGAGUCGAGUAGUUUGGGAAUGCUGCUCUAAAUGGGAGGUAAAUCUCUUCUAAAGCUAAAUACCGGCCAGAGACCGAUAGCGCACAAGUAGAGUGAUCGAAAGAUGAAAAGCACCUUGAAAAGGGGGUUAAACAGUACGUGAAAUUGUUGAAAGGGAAGCGUUUGUGACCAGACUUGCGCCGGGCGGCUCAGCAGGGGUUCUCCCCUGUGUAUUCCGCCCGGUUCAGGCCAGCAUCGGUUCUCUCUGGGGGAUAAGAACGGCAGGAACGUGGCUCUCCCUCGGGCGAGUGUUAUAGCCUGCCGUACGAUAUCCUGGAGGGGACCGAGGACCGCGCUUCGGCAAGGAUGCUGGCGUAAUGGUUACUAGCGACCCGUCUUGAAACACGGACCAAGGAGUCGUCCAUUAGAGCGAGCGUUUGGGUGUCAAACCCGCACGCGUAAUGAAAGUGAAAUUAGGUGAGAGCUUCGGCGCAUCAUCGACCGAUCCUGAUGUUCUCGGAUGGAUUUGAGUAAGAGUUUUAACGGACGGACCCGAAAGACAGUGAACUAUGCUUGUAUAGGGUGAAGCCAGAGGAAACUCUGGUGGAGGCUCGCAGCGGUUCUGACGUGCAAAUCGAUCGUCAAAUAUGAGCAUGGGGCGAAAGACUAUCGA
Molecule: ribosomal RNA, 832 nt
Filed under: Diaporthella cryptica
Lineage: Eukaryota; Fungi; Ascomycota; Sordariomycetes; Diaporthales; Diaporthaceae
Description: partial large subunit ribosomal RNA
Rfam family: Eukaryotic large subunit ribosomal RNA
Source: RNAcentral